GACGAACGCUGGCGGCGUGCUUAACACAUGCAAGUCGAACGAUGAUCUCCCGCUUGCGGGGGUGCUUAGUGGCGAACGGGUGAGUAAUACGUGAGUAACCUGCCCUUGACUCUGGGAUAAGCCUGGGAAACCGGGUCUAAUACUAGAUACUACUUCCUGCCGCAUGGUGGGGGGUGGAAAGGGUUUUACUGGUUUUGGAUGGGCUCACGGCCUAUCAGCUUGUUGGUGGAGUAAUGGCUCACCAAGGCGACGACGGGUAGCCGGCCUGAGAGGGUGACCGGCCACACUGGGACUGAGACACGGCCCAGACUCCUACGGGAGGCAGCAGUGGGGAAUAUUGCACAAUGGGCGGAAGCCUGAUGCAGCGACGCCGCGUGAGGGAUGACGGCCUUCGGGUUGUAAACCUCUUUCAGCAGGGAAGAAGCCACAAGUGACGGUACCUGCAGAAGAAGCGCCGGCUAACUACGUG
RNAcentral lists this ribosomal RNA (469 nucleotides) under uncultured bacterium. RNAcentral's name for it is "partial 16S ribosomal RNA". It matches the Rfam family "Bacterial small subunit ribosomal RNA", at positions 28 to 507 of the family's 1533-position model. The record is from RNAcentral.